This 17-nucleotide unclassified non-coding RNA is filed under the name Mus musculus (house mouse). Its description in RNAcentral is "oocyte_clustered_small_RNA14221". Lineage: Eukaryota; Metazoa; Chordata; Mammalia; Rodentia; Muridae. The record is from RNAcentral.
AGAUGCCAUUCUAUGUA